RNAcentral lists this transfer RNA (74 nucleotides) under Mariniblastus sp. RNAcentral describes it as "tRNA-Ile". It matches the Rfam family "tRNA". Rfam says of the family: Transfer RNA (tRNA) molecules are approximately 80 nucleotides in length. Their secondary structure includes four short double-helical elements and three loops (D, anti-codon, and T loops). The record is from RNAcentral. Lineage: Bacteria; Pseudomonadati; Planctomycetota; Planctomycetia; Pirellulales; Pirellulaceae.
AGGCGAUUAGCUCAGCUGGUUAGAGCUCCACCCUGAUAUGGUGGGAGUCGCAGGUUCGAACCCUGUAUCGCCUA